RNAcentral lists this ribosomal RNA (465 nucleotides) under uncultured bacterium. RNAcentral describes it as "partial 16S ribosomal RNA". It matches the Rfam family "Bacterial small subunit ribosomal RNA", at positions 28 to 507 of the family's 1533-position model. The record is from RNAcentral.
GACGAACGCUGGCGGCGUGCUUAACACAUGCAAGUCGAACGGAAAGGCCCCUUUGGGGGUACUCGAGUGGCGAACGGGUGAGUAACACGUUAGUAACCUCCCCUUGCCUUCGGGAUAACUUCAUGAAACUGGGUCUAAUACCGAAUAGGAAUCCUUGCUGCAUGGUGGGGGUUGGAAGGCUUCGGCGGUUUGGGGUGGACUUUCGGCUUAUCAGCUUGUUGGUGGGGUGGUGGCUUACCAAGGCUUUGACGGGUAGCCGGCCGGAGAGGGCGACCGGCCCACUUGGGACUGAGAUACGGCCCAGACUCCUACGGGAGGCAGAAGUGGGGAAUAUUGCACAAUGGGCGGAAGCCUGAUGCAGCAACGCCGCGUGCGGGAUGACGGCCUUAGGGUUGUAAACCGCUUUCAGCAGGGGCGAAGCUUGUGGUGACGGUACCUGCAGAAGAAGCACCGGCUAACUACGUG